AGUCUAAGAUGCUGCUAAGAUGCCAGUCUAAGAUGCUAGUCUAAGAUGCUAUCCUAACUGCCAGUCCUUGAUGGCCAGGGAUUCUAUCCUAACUGCCACAAGGACCAUGUGCUGCAGCCAAAGGACCAUGUGCUGCAGCCCCACAAAGACCUUAGUACAUAGACUUAUCCAUCAGAUUCUACCUUGUUUUACAUGAUGCAAUCACUUAAGCUAGACUUGAAAAACUGUUUGCUUGGACAUGAUCAUACAUACCAUGUUAUUGGCAUUUCUCUCAUUUAUGAUGAUGACACUUAUUUUCCUCAUGCUAGACCUAUGCUUAAUGAAACAUCUCAUUCUCAUGCUAGUCUGGAGGUUAAUGAUUCACAUCAUCCUUAUGCUAGCAUGGAGCUUACUGAUUUAUACCAUCCUAAACAUGUGCUUUAUAGCUAUGCUUAUGUAAUUGGGUAUUCGAUUGGUGAUUUAGAGGGCAUCGACCCUGUCACUUGUAUUGUCUCUUUGGUGAGUUCUUUUUCAGGUUUUUGCAUGUGCACCAUUCAAUAUAUGCUGACCAGGUUCGAGGUGACAUUCCUUGGGACCCCGGUGGAUUCAGAGCAUGGUGAAGGGGGGAAGCAAUGGACACACGAAGAAGAGAGAAGCUGGAGCUUGCAAGUGGAAGCAAAAGGAGAAGAGCUGCAGUUCAGAGAGUGAUUGUGCGAGACCUACAUCAUAUAAGCCCGGUGAGCUGUUUCAUGACCCCAAUCUGAAUAUAUCAUCCAUUGAUAAUGCUGAAAUCAUUUGAUAUUUGAGUUGCUUAAGCCAUUUCUUAAAUGAUGUCCCACUAAAUUUUACCUUUGACAUAUGGUGCUUGAUGUGAAUAUGUGAACUGAAUUGUGAAUGCCUUGUAGACUAGUGAUCUACAUAGUGCUUGCUUUGCUGAAAUUAGUGAAAGUUAUUAGUUUUGAGUGCUCAAAUCCCUAGUACACUAGAAAGCUCCAUCAUUUUCUGCAUUUACUUUGAUACACCUAGAUCAUCAAGUGUUAGAUGCUGAAUUUGUGCCAAGUGUGUUCCCAUUCAGAGCAAUCACUUAACCACUAUGGAUUAGCAUGCUAUGUUCUCUGGAUCGGUAGCAUGUGAACCAGACAUGGAUGAGUGAUGAUUCUUGUUUCCUUCCUUAUGUUUCAUGCCAUUGUAAUUCCUUUGUUCAAUAUGUAAUAAUGAAUAUAAGUCUAGUCUACCUAUAGUAGCAUGUCAUGUUCCCUGGAUCGGUGGCAUGUGAAAUCUGGUAGCUUGGACAGUAAUGAAUUAAUAAUAAAAAUGUAAUUGUCGAAACAGGUGUAUACCAUGUUCUCUGGAUCGGUGGUAUGUUCCUUUGGGGAGACAAUUAAAAAAAACCUAACAAUUGGUCGAGGCAGGUGUAUACCAUGUUCUCGGGAUCGGUGAAAAGUGCGACAAGGCACAAAAUCCUUCUACUACAAAUGAUCAAGAGCGAUGGACCCGAGCGAGAAGAAAAGAAGUUACCAGGGGCAAGCUAAAGAAGUGGGAGGAUCUUCUUGUGAAGAAAGAAGAAGAGGAAGAGGGCUAAUGUGCAAAAGUGGCAGAUUAGAUGGGGAACAAAAUCCCUAGCGGCUCCCUUCGAUCUCUUCGGGCCUGGACAUCUCUCUCUCUCCCGCCUCCUUCUCCACCUCGGCCGCCGCCGCGGCCAGGCCGACGUGGCGGCGCGCCACCGCGCGACUCCCCUUACCUCUGCUGCUCUCUUCUUCCCCAUCGCCAACCUGCGGCUGCUUCUUCUUCCCACGCCCCUGCUGCUGCUUGCUCUCUCAAUCUCUGCUACUACUUCUCCUUCCCUCCGCUGCUUGCUACUUCUCCUUCUUCAACCUACUGCUGCUCGCCCUCAACCUCCCUCUGCUGCAGCUCUUCUCUAAGCCCUCAUGACCCUGCUGCUCUUCCCUAACUCCACGUUCCUGCUGCUCCUCUUCUCCUAAUCUUGUUGUUGCUCUUCCUGAACCCUUGCUGCUGCUCCUUCUCUCCUCCACCUCUUGCUGCUGCUUCUCUCUGAACCGAACUGCUGCUGCUCCCUCUCCCACGAACCUGCUGCUGCUCCUCUCUCCCUGAUGCCCCUACUUCUUCUCUGAAUUCCAAACUGUUGCUGUUCUUUGUCUCUCCCCCUCUUUGUGUGUGAGUGAGUGUGUGCGUGUGCGUGCGUGUGUGUGUGUAAUUUCUGUGAACAAUUAGAGUGGAGACUUGAUAGAUUGUACUCUGUUUUACACUAUUUCAAUAUAUGUGAAUCACCCAUUCAUUA
Molecule: non-coding RNA, 2278 nt
Organism: Aegilops tauschii subsp. strangulata
Lineage: Eukaryota; Viridiplantae; Streptophyta; Magnoliopsida; Poales; Poaceae
Source: RefSeq, a predicted model, not a curated record